Long non-coding RNA from Drosophila innubila, 603 nucleotides. RefSeq lists it as uncharacterized. Lineage: Eukaryota; Metazoa; Arthropoda; Insecta; Diptera; Drosophilidae. The transcript has 4 exons. The record is from RefSeq and is a predicted model, not a curated record.
GGUAUAAACGUUGUUUGAUAGGCUCUGUUACGAACUGCUUUUCUUCUCGGUGGGCCGCGCCGGCUGGCUCAUCGGUUCUCAAGGUAGAGUCCCAUCCCUGACCCGCAGUCCAAACAAUCGAUUACACCAUCGAUACACAAACAGCUGUGGCGAACGGAACUACACAACACUACAACAAAAGACGACGGAAAUCCACAACAUAAACAACAAAACCUGCAAUAAACUACAAAACGGAUCCCGGUUCCGGACCCAGGCGUACCCGCCCUGCCUUAAAUGACCACCUCAACGUCAUCUCCCUCAUGUUGGCCACCGAAUGGACCUACUUCAUCCUGUGUUGGCCAUCGUGUUUCUUCCUCCCCCUACAGCAAUAAUUACUCGGACAUUUUUAUCAUCAGGUGUGUACAUUUCUUAAUUUCCAAACCAAACACAGACGAGGAACAGAAUGAGAUCACCAGAAGGAAGCGACCAAAGAAAGUUGCAUUUAACGUUAUAAGACACAAUGCGGCGGAGACGCCGAGGGAAUCAUAUAAAUAUAUGUAUAUAUAAUAUGUACGCGUACAUCGAUAUUUCAUCAACUUUAAUCUAACUUCAAUUUAAUUCAAG